Molecule: ribosomal RNA, 330 nt
Filed under: Triticum aestivum (bread wheat)
Lineage: Eukaryota; Viridiplantae; Streptophyta; Magnoliopsida; Poales; Poaceae
Description: partial small subunit ribosomal RNA
Source: RNAcentral
CUCCUCUUCCAGUGUAGGUUCACUACCCGUGUCUGGCAUGCGGUGGUCGCCUGGCUCGGCAUGCAGGACCACUCGCCACUGAUUCGGCGCCAUGAAGACAUGGUUCAAGAUUGGUGGCUUAAGACGAUAAACUCUGGAGGGCACAUCAAGAAAGCCACUGCCUCUGUUCUGAUGCUUGCCAUGUGGGAAAUGUGGAAGGAGCGGAACGCAAGAGUCUUUCGCAGCACGGCUUCACCGACCACCAUUAUUGUUGCCAAGAUCAAAGAGGAGGCCCAUCUUUGGGCGUUGGCGGGAGCCAACCACCUGAGUGAGCUUAUGUCGCGAGAGUAA